RNAcentral lists this ribosomal RNA (164 nucleotides) under Gynoxys tomentosissima. Lineage: Eukaryota; Viridiplantae; Streptophyta; Magnoliopsida; Asterales; Asteraceae. The record is from RNAcentral.
CAAACGACUCUCGGCAACGGAUAUCUYGGCUCACGCAUCGAUGAAGAACGUAGCAAAAUGCGAUACUUGGUGUGAAUUGCAGAAUCCCGUGAACCAUCGAGUUUUUGAACGCAAGUUGCGCCCAAAGCCUUUCGGCUGAGGGCACGUCUGCCUGGGCGUCACAC